GACGGGUUAGUAACGCGUGGGAAUAUACCCUUUGGUACGGAAUAGCCUCUGGAAACGGAGAGUAAUACCGUAUGAGCCCUUCGGGGGAAAGAUUUAUCGCCAAAGGAUUAGCCCGCGUUAGAUUAGGUAGUUGGUGGGGUAAUGGCCUACCAAGCCUACGAUCUAUAGCUGGUUUUAGAGGAUGAUCAGCAACACUGGGACUGAGACACGGCCCAGACUCCUACGGGAGGCAGCAGUGGGGAAUCUUGGACAAUGGGGGCAACCCUGAUCCAGCCAUGCCGCGUGAGUGAUGAAGGCCUUAGGGUCGUAAAGCUCUUUCGCCUGUGAAGAUAAUGACGGUAGCAGGUAAAGAAACCCCGGCUAACUCCGUGCCAGCAGCCGCGGUAAUACGGAGGGGGUUAGCGUUGUUCGGAAUUACUGGGCGUAAAGCGCACGUAGGCGGACCAGAAAGUUGGGGGUGAAAUCCCGGGGCUCAACCCCGGAACUGCCUCCAAAACUAUUGGUCUAGAGUUCGAGAGAGGUGAGUGGAAUUCCAAGUGUAGAGGUGAAAUUCGUAGAUAUUUGGAGGAACACCAGUGGCGAAGGCGGCUCACUGGCUCGAUACUGACGCUGAGGUGCGAAAGUGUGGGGAGCAAACAGGAUUAGAUACCCUGGUAGUCCACACCGUAAACGAUGAAUGCCAGUCGUCGGGUAGCAUGCUAUUCGGUGACACACCUAACGGAUUAAGCAUUCCGCCUGGGGAGUACGGUCGCAAGAUUAAAA
RNAcentral lists this ribosomal RNA (762 nucleotides) under Ruegeria conchae. Its description in RNAcentral is "bacterial SSU rRNA". It matches the Rfam family "Bacterial small subunit ribosomal RNA", at positions 100 to 899 of the family's 1533-position model. The record is from RNAcentral. Lineage: Bacteria; Pseudomonadati; Pseudomonadota; Alphaproteobacteria; Rhodobacterales; Roseobacteraceae.